AGGGAGAGAGUUUUGGCGUCGGCCGCCCUUGGGUGCUGGGCCCCAACAGUGGGCCGCCGCCCGCCUGAGCAGUGUCGGGUCCGGCCCCGCUUGGCCAGGCCUGCACCCGGCCUGCUGGUCUCCGGGUCUCCCCACCCCGGCACCCUCCGAAUGUGGAUGCCCCAAAGCAGUGAGCGCCCCUGUGGGCAAGGGUCAGCACGGAUGCGAGAGUCCCUGGUUGCUGUGGGUGCAUGCUUAAGGAGCAGGUGGGGGAAAGGAGUGAUGAGAGAGUCACCCUCCCCUUGGCGACAUUAGCUCAGCUGCCCAGAAAGCCUGGGCAAGCUGCUUGGGAGUCUGUGGCCUUGGCAGACUAGCUCCCCUUCAUCACAGAGCCGCAGGGAGGGGACAGAUGCGCCAGCAGACGUGCUUGAGCAGAGCCUGCCCAGGGUGAGUACAGGGUGGCCAUGCAGGCGACUCGGGCCAG
Molecule: long non-coding RNA, 463 nt
Filed under: Sus scrofa (pig)
Lineage: Eukaryota; Metazoa; Chordata; Mammalia; Artiodactyla; Suidae
Description: lncRNA (ENSSSCG00015052655.1)
Source: RNAcentral